GCUGGCAGCUAGCUCUCUGCAACUCUCACAUGGUCGCCCACUGAAGCUAAGCAGAGCUGUGCCCGGUCAGUCCCUGGAUGGAAGACCACAUGGGAAAGCUAGGUUGCUACCGGAA
Molecule: non-coding RNA, 115 nt
Organism: Danio rerio (zebrafish)
Lineage: Eukaryota; Metazoa; Chordata; Actinopteri; Cypriniformes; Danionidae
Source: Rfam